RNAcentral lists this ribosomal RNA (1596 nucleotides) under human oral metagenome. RNAcentral describes it as "bacterial LSU rRNA". It matches the Rfam family "Bacterial large subunit ribosomal RNA", at positions 859 to 2467 of the family's 2925-position model. The record is from RNAcentral.
ACGAACUAUAUGUUCGCUCCGCUUUAUUUUUACGUCGCAACAUUUAAAUCCAUCUCAAAAAUCCUACGCCAUCUUGAGUUCAAAUUUAAACUAAACGUCUUAAUCUAAAUUUAGAAAUUUCAAAUUUCUUAGAAUUUUAAAAUUUAACGACAAAAAGCAAAAAGACAAAUAAAGCUUUUAAGAUAAAGGCGAAGUAUUUUUGUCUUUAGGCGAGGCGAAUUUUAGCGAAGCAAGGGAGUUAUCGUUUGGAUAAUGACCGAAGCUGAGCAAAAAUUCAACGAAGCAUAAAGCAAAAAGACAAGCCGCAAGAAAAGUAUAAAUCAUUAAGUGCAAGUGGUAGGAGAGCGUUCCAAUCAGCGUUGAAGCCGUACCGGUAAGGAGCGGUGGAGCGGUUGGAAGUGAGCAUGCAGGCAUGAGUAGCGAUAAAAUACGUGAGAAUCGUAUUCGCCGUAAACCCAAGGUUUCCUACGCGAUGCUCGUCAUCGUAGGGUUAGCCGGGUCCUAAGCAAAGUCCGAAAGGGGUAUGCGAUGGAAAAUUGGUUAAUAUUCCAAUGCCAACUAUAAUGUGCGAUGGAAGGACGCUUAGAGUUAAGCAAGCUAGCGGAUGGUAGUGCUAGUCGAAAGGUGUAGGUUAAGAUCCAGGCAAAUCCGGAUCUUUUUAAGCCGAGACCCCACAGGCGUUUGAAGUUCUUCGGAAUGGAUAGCGAAUUGCUGAUACUAUCGAGCCGAGAAAAGUUUCUAAGUUUAGCUGAUAUCGCCCGUACCGUAAACCGACACAGGUGGGUGGGAUGAGUAUUCUAAGGCGCGUGGAAGAACUCUCUUUAAGGAACUCUGCAAAAUAGCACCGUAUCUUCGGUAUAAGGUGUGCCUAACUUUGUGAAGGAUUUACUCCGUAAGCAUUGAAGGUUACAACAAAGAGUCCCUCCCGACUGUUUACCAAAAACACAGCACUCUGCUAACUCGUAAGAGGAUGUAUAGGGUGUGACGCCUGCCCGGUGCUCGAAGGUUAAUUGAUGACGUUAGCUCUGCGAAGCGUUUGAUCGAAGCCCGAGUAAACGGCGGCCGUAACUAUAACGGUCCUAAGGUAGCGAAAUUCCUUGUCGAUUAAAUAUCGACCUGCAUGAAUGGCGUAACGAGAUGGGAGCUGUCUCGAAGAGGGAUCCAGUGAAAUUGUAGUGGAGGUGAAAAUUCCUCCUACCCGCGGCAAGACGGAAAGACCCCGUGGACCUUUACUAUAGCUUGACACUGCUACUUGGAUAAAGAUGCGCAGGAUAGGUGGGAGGCUUCGAUUCGUAGAUCUCGGUUUACGAUGAGCCAUUGUUGAGAUACCACUCUUCUUUAUUCGGGUAGCUAACUAGCCUAAGUUAUCCUUAGGUAGGACAAUGUCUGGUGGGUAGUUUGACUGGGGCGGUCGCCUCCCAAAAUGUAACGGAGGCUUACAAAGGUUGGCUCAGAACGGUUGGAAAUCGUUCGCAGAGUAUAAAGGCAAAAGCCAGCUUAACUGCGAGACAUACACGUCAAGCAGGGACGAAAGUCGGGCUUAGUGAUCCGGUGGUUCUGUAUGGAAGGGCCAUCGCUCAACGGAUAAAAGGUACU